CCCAUCGCACCCCUCCUCCCUGCUCCCAAUCUUCCCGCCGCCACCACCACCUCCUCGCAGCCUCCUCCCACGAUUCCCCGCACCCGAGCCCCACGAGAGGAGCUCUUCCUGUGGUUUUGCACGCCGGCGCCGGCGACCACCAGCCACAGCUUGCCAGAGCCAGCAGAUGAGUGCCACCCUUCUUCUCUGUUCUCUUCUUCCCGUGCUCUCUUUCUUCCUCCUUUUUCUCUCUCACACAUCUCGAUUACUCUCUCUGUCUCAAACAGUGCACUCCGCCGCCAUGGACCUUGCAGCGCGCCGCCCUGAUGCCAAGUCCCUCCUCGUCGUUCCUGCGCCGCCUAGCCGAAGCCUCGCCCAACUCCAAGCGCCGCCGCCGUUUGCCUCCUCGCCAUGGCCUCCCCUGCAUCGUCUGCUUCGCGGACAGAGCUCCGUCUCCGUCAACGUGUCCUCCCGCCGUCUCUGUUCGCUGUCGGGCUCGAUCGACUCUAGCAGCACCCCCACGGUGACGCUCCGCUCGGCACCCGAGGUAUAUCCCGGCUUCAUCGAUUUUAGAUAUGUGCUUGUUCUCGCAAGUUAAGAUGGAUCUAGCGCCGUACGCAGAUGCAGAGGUCUUGCGGUCUCUGUUGCUCGAGUUAUCUACUGUCGUUCGAGUAUAUUUGCCUGCUUCCUUUUGACUGGGUUUAUUGUGUAUGCAGUAGUAGUCAUGUCCACGCGUUCUUGCCUUGAGGCGAUGGCAAUUUGUUUAAAACCGCAAGGCAGCUUUGCUUUCUACAGUAUCUCCUUCCUUGUUUUGUUCUGUGUAGUACGUCUUGGUUGGUCAAAAGCUACUAAAACAUUUACUGUUCUGUCGACCGAGGCCUGAGGCAGAGCUAAGGCUUGCCGAUUAUUGCUUACAACGCCAAGUUGCAAUUAGCUGGGAUGUGUAGCGUGGCUAGCUUGUGUUGAUUGGUUUUGAGAUAUAAUUGGAAACUGAUUGUGUGUCAGUACAACAAACGUGAUGUUUUUUUUGAAUAGCAAACGUGCUGAUGGAAGUGUCUUUUCAUACGUGAUUCUGAUUUGCACUUCUCGGUCAAAGGCAUCUCUAGUACGUGACACACUUUGGAUGUGCAAACUUGGUUUUGUUUUGCAUGCUUACUUGUUUAGUGAACUUGAUGCCAUGCUUAUUUCAUAUAUCUAAUAGUAACCUGCAAAAAAAUAUUGUAAUUGCCAAGCUUGAUUUGUUCUACUUGCCUGCUACAAACUAUUCAAAUAACUACUACUUAAUUAGUAGCAUGUAGACUGGAUUAUUAUUUUGUCAACAUUUUAUUCUAGAGAUAUUUACAAAAGCAUGUGUUGUCCAUCCCAUGUAGCAAUCACUGCUAGUUUGUAUUGAGCAAAUAGAGCACCGCACUGUAGCUAGCCUCGCGCGGCAGCUGCCGCCCGGGACGCGGUGUGCGUCGAGUGCAGUAUAGAUUUUCCAAUCUUUCUUUCAAAAUGACAAGUUGUAUUAGUACACCAUCAUGGGACAAAAGUAGCUGAACUGCACUUACUGUCAGGUCAGGGUGGUUUAUAGUGUUGCCUUUCAUCAAAAUCUCAAGAGGCCUUCUCAAAUCAGCUAUUAUUUUUUUCGCAUUUGCAGUGAGCUUUAACCGGAAAAUACCAUUAUCAGUCUUUUCGAAAUUGUAAGACACACCUGCAUGAAAUGGAAAACUAGUUACAUCUUCAAACUCACCAGUAGAUAUAAGCUUAAGCUUUUUGCAGUCUCAAACAAUCACACAAACAAUAUAAAUUCAGAAACGAAGCUACAUAAGAUUAGCAGCAUAACACUUGUGAUUUAGGCUUAUCAAGGAGAGGAAGGGGAUAUCCCUAUUUACUAAUGUUACAGAUUCUUGGAUGUGUACCUUGGUUGCAGUCUUGCAAGUGAUCACACACAUACAUGUGUAAACUAGUGUAUCUACCAACAAACUCUUGCGGUGAUUCUUGAAAAUGAAUCACAUCUGAGCAGAAAUAACACAUAGUCCUGAAUUUAACAACAACCAAAAAAAACUUGCAUACCAAUAGGAACACCAAAAAUAUUGUAUGUACGCAUACUACCCCCAAUCAAAAUUACUUGCCAUAUUUAGCCCCUGAAAACAAACAAGGGCCAGUUCUGGCACUUUUCAUCUCUAAAGGAGAGAUGGUCAUUUAAUUGAGGAGUUGUAAACAUGACAUAUUAGUGAUGCAUCAUCAUUUAUUAUUUUUAUGGAGCAAACGCACAUGAUAGGCUCAACAGCUGGCGUUGAGUUGUUAGAGCUCAACGCCAACAUAUAUGGUGUUGAACCGUGGCCUCCUUCCUUUGACCCUUGGGUGAAUUACAAAAGUGAGUGUUGGCUUGUUAUAUAACGAGCUGCAGUGCUUGGCCUAGAAAGAUUCUUCCAUACCCAGUAGCAGCGUUCAUCCUUUACUCUAUUUUUUCUCUUUUCUUUAUUCAUGCACGUACUGGUUUAACUUAUUUGCAAGCUUCUGCUCCAAGAUGGCAAUCACUGAUGCCUACUCUGUUGUUUCACCUUGUGCUACCGGGAAAAUCACAUGUGGUGGAUGGCUUGAGGCAGGCAAAAAUGACAACGACGAAGGUAGCGCAGUUCAGCCCCAUCCACUCUCGCGUUGAACACAAACAGCUCAACCCUGGGGUGUAUGGCGUUGAACGUGUUUGUUCCACAAAAGUGCUAAGUUUUUUCAAAUACCAAAGUGCUAACAUGAAAAGUUCUAUGGAACAAGAGGUACCAGAAGGUGGAGAACAAAAGAGUGAUGUUGGUGUUGUUGUUGACCUUUUCUCACUAAAGAAUGUCCCUCCAACACAUUUCUCCCUCACUGGUUGUGUUGUUUUGGUUGGUGCCAUCUUAUGAACAUGUGGUGUAAUGAUACUACUGGGCCUAACUUAAUGAAAUCUUGGAGAAUUA
Long non-coding RNA from Triticum aestivum (bread wheat), 2918 nucleotides. RefSeq lists it as uncharacterized. The transcript is spliced from 2 exons. Lineage: Eukaryota; Viridiplantae; Streptophyta; Magnoliopsida; Poales; Poaceae. The record is from RefSeq and is a predicted model, not a curated record.